RNAcentral lists this ribosomal RNA (497 nucleotides) under uncultured bacterium. Its description in RNAcentral is "partial 16S ribosomal RNA". It matches the Rfam family "Bacterial small subunit ribosomal RNA", at positions 28 to 507 of the family's 1533-position model. The record is from RNAcentral.
GAUGAACGCUGACGGCGUGCCUAAUACAUGCAAGUCGAGCGAACGGACGAGAAGCUUGCUUCUCUGAUGUUAGCGGCGGACGGGUGAGUAACACGUGGAUAACCUACCUAUAAGACUGGGAUAACUUCGGGAAACCGGAGCUAAUACCGGAUAAUAUUUUGAACCGCAGGGUUCAAAAGUGAAAGACGGUCUUGCUGUCACUUAUAGAUGGAUCCGCGCUGCAUUAGCUAGUUGGUAAGGUAACGGCUUACCAAGGCAACGAUGCAUAGCCGACCUGAGAGGGUGAUCGGCCACACUGGAACUGAGACACGGUCCAGGCUCCUACGGGAGGCAGCAGUAGGGAAUCUUCCGCAAUGGGCGAAAGCCUGACGGAGCAACGCCGCGUGAGUGAUGAAGGUCUUCGGAUCGUAAAACUCUGUUAUUAGGGAAGAACAUAUGUGUAAGUAGCUGUGCACAUCUUGACGGUACCUAGUCAGAAAGCAACGGCUAACUACGUG